CCAGUCGGGACAGUAGCGGCGUCUUGUACCUGAAAUCCGCUAUAGCAGGGAUGGAAUCCGGCGGCGAGGGUUGUUUUUGUGCAGCCUGUCGUGCCGGUUUAUGUGUUGAGGUUUGGGCCUUACGCAAUUAUCCCUCAUGAACCAUGUCAGGCGGGGAACCGAGCAGCAUUAAGUGAUACGGAUAAUGUGCCGUAAGCACACCUGGACUGAGCAUAGCCGGCAA
Molecule: signal recognition particle RNA, 223 nt
Filed under: human gut metagenome
Description: Bacterial large signal recognition particle RNA
Rfam family: Bacterial large signal recognition particle RNA
About the family: The signal recognition particle (SRP) is a universally conserved ribonucleoprotein involved in the co-translational targeting of proteins to membranes. Archaeal SRP consists of a 7S RNA and homologues of the eukaryotic SRP19 and SRP54 proteins.
Source: RNAcentral